GCCUAGUUAGCUUAGUUGGUAGCGCACGCCUUGUAAGCGCUAGGCCGCGGGUUCGAUUCCUGCCCGGGGCG
RNAcentral lists this transfer RNA (71 nucleotides) under Diaphorina citri (Asian citrus psyllid). It matches the Rfam family "tRNA". Rfam says of the family: Transfer RNA (tRNA) molecules are approximately 80 nucleotides in length. The record is from Rfam by way of RNAcentral. Lineage: Eukaryota; Metazoa; Arthropoda; Insecta; Hemiptera; Psyllidae.